UAUUUUACGAAAUAGCCGUUCUUAAGAAUAAUGACACUUCCAGUUAUGUUGUCAUAGUAAUAAUAAUAGUAAUAAAUAUAACAGGCAUUUUGUUAUGUAUUGAUAGUAUUGAUUGUAUUAUAUCAGAGAGAGUGAGAGAUGUAGGUCGAUGCGAUAUGUAAAUCAUAAUAUAUUCCAGAUAUUUUAAACGAUACCGGUAAUUUUGCUUUAUUUGUUUUGCUUAUCAUUUAAAGAGUGCAAAAUAAACGUCACUUGCUAUAUAAGUCGUGCCAAACAUAGUAAUUAUAUUUUUCCUUGUUUGUUUGGGGGAGGGAAAGAGAAAUAGUGCCGAUUAAAGUCUUGCCAAAUACUACGGGUGAAUUUUUUAAUAAUAUUUUGUUGCGUUUAUUAUUGGAAGGAAAGAAAAUAAGGGAAAAAAAAGGAAAGGAAAAGAAGAAAAAGAUCCUCUAAAAAUAUAUCAAAUACCACCAGUGAAUUUUUCUUAAUAUUUUGUUGCGUUUAUUAUUGGAAGGAAAGAAAAUAAGGGAAAAAAGGAAAGGAAAAGAAGAAAAAGAUUGUCUAUAAAUAUAUCAAAUACCGCCAGUGAAUUUUUCUUAAUAUUUCUUUCUAUUUAUUAUUGGAAGAAAAGAAAAUUUGGAAAAAAGAAGAAAGGAAAGAGGAGAAAAAGAAAAAGAUUGUCUAUAAAUAUAUCAGAUACCACAAGUGAAUUUUUCUUAAUAUUUCUUUCCAUUUAUUAUUGGAAGAAAAAAAGCAAGAUAAUAGGAAAAAAAGAAGAAAGUUAAGAGAAAAAGAGAAAAGAUAGUUUAUAAAAUUACCAAAUACCACCAGUGAAAUUUUCUUAAUAUAAUUUUGUGUUAUUUAAAGGAAAAAAAAGCACCGAUUCAACACACCAAUUUGAAGUGUUGCCAAAUACUACGGGUGAAAAUUUUCCAUAAUAUUUUGUUACGUUUAUUAUUGGAAGAAAAGAAAAUAAGGAAAAGAGAAGAAAGUAAAGAGGAAAUAAAGAAAAAGAUCCUCUAUAAAUAUAUCAAAUACCACAAGUGAAUUUUUCUUAAUAUUUUGUUCCAUUUAUUAUUGGAAAAGAAAAAAACGAGAAAACGGGGUAAAAAAGGAGAAAGUUAAAAGGAGAAAAAGAAAAAGAUCGUUUAUAAAAUUACCAAAUACCACCAGUUAAUUUUUCUUCAUAUUUUUGUGUUAUUUAAAGAAAAAAAAAAACAAUUAACAUUUUCCAGAUAAACCUUGCCAAAAAUAUAUAAACGGUGACAUUUUUGUUUCGUUUUCAGCCUGUUAUUUAUAGUCCAAUGUCUAAUAUGUUUACUAGAGUGUCUAAGUCCCCCCUUAAAACCUUGCGUACAUUUUCUCUAUAGAGGCGGCAAGGGUUGAUAUAUAUGUGUGUUUAAAAGUGUGCCCCCUUUAAAUAAUACCCUUGUUUAAGUUUUCUAUAUAAAGAUGGUGAGGGUUAGAAAAUAUAUAUGCUUACUUGAGUGCCCCAUUAAAAUCUUACUUUUGUUUACAUUUUCUAUAUAAGGAUAAGGGUAAAAAAUAUAUGUUUACUAGUCCCCCCUUAAAAUAAUACCCUUGUUUACGUUUUCUAUAUAAAGACAGCAAGGAUAAAAAAAUGCUUACUGGAGUGCCCCAUUAAAAUCUUACCUUUGUUUACAUUUUCUAUAUAAGGACAAGGGUAAAAAAUAUAUGUUUACUAGUCCCCCCUUAAAAUAAUACCCUAGUUUACGUUUUCUAUAUAAAGACAGCAAGGUUUAAAAAUACAUGUUUACUCGAGUGCCCUUAAAAUAAUACCCUUGUUUAUGUUUUCUAUAUAAAGACAGCAAGGGUAGAAAUUAUAUGUUUACUAGUGUCCCCCUUAAAAUAAUACCCUUGUUUACGUUUUCUAUAUAAAGACAGCAAGGUUAAAAAAUAUAUGUUUACUCGAGUGCCCCCUUAAAAUCAUACCCUUGUUUACGUUUUCUAUAUAAGGACAGCAAGAGUAAAAAAUAUACAUGCGUUCUAGAUUGGCUAAGUCCCCCCCGAAUAACCCUUCUUCAUUUUCUCUCUAUACACGACGCCAAUAAUAUUUUUCUGACGUUAAGGAAGUGCCGUGUAGCUUAUAGUUCCUUCAAGCAUCUAUAUUCUUUGCCAUAAUAAGGAAUACAUAGGAAAUACAUGCGUUCUAGAGUGGCUAAGUACCCCCCGGAUAACCCUUCAUUUUCUCUAUAUAAACGCCGGCUAAUAUUUUCUCAUAGGUCAAGGAAGUGUCGCGUCGCUUAUAAUUCCUUCAGGUGUUUAUACUUUUUGCCGUAAUAAGAAAUACAAGCUUACCAGUCUAGCUAAGUACCCCCCGGAUAUCCCUUCAUUUUCUCUAUAUAAACAACAACAAUAGUAUUUUUUUCAUAGGUUAAAGAAGCGUCGUGUAACUUAUAUUCCUUCAGGUGUUUAUAUUCUUUGCCAUAAUAAGAAAUACAAGCUUACCAGUCUAGCUAAGUACCCCCUGGAUAUCCCUUCAUUUUCUCUAUAUAAACGACAACUAAUAUUUUUUUCAUAGGUUAAAGAAGCGUCGUGUAACUUAUAUUCCUUCAGGUGUUUAUAUUCUUUGCUAUAAUAAGAAAUACAAGCUUACCAGUCUAGCUAAGUACCCCCCGGAUAUCCCUUCAUUUUCUCUAUAUAUACGACAACAAUAGUAUUUUUCUCAUAGGUUAAAGAAGCGUCGUGUAACUUAUAUUCCUUCAGGUGUUUAUAUUCUUUGCUAUAAUAAGAAAUACAAGCUUACCAGUCUAGCUAAGUACCCCCUGGAUAUCCCUUCAUUUUCUCUAUAUAUACGACAACAAUAGUAUUUUUUUCAUAGGCUAAAGAAGCGUCGUGUAACUUAUAUUUCUUUAGGUGUUUAUAUUCUUUGCCAUAAUAAGAAAUACAAGCUUACCAGUCUAGCUAAGUACCCCCUGGAUAACCCUUCAUUUUCUCUAUAUAUACAACAACAAUAGUAUUUUUCUCAUAGGCUAAAGAAGCGUCGUGUAACUUAUAUUCCUUCAUGUGUUUAUAUUCUUUGCCAUAAUAAGAAAUACAAGCUUACCAGUCUGGCUAAGUACCCCCCGGAUAUCCCUUCAUUUUCUCUAUAUAUACGACAACAAUAGUAUUUUUCUCAUAGGUUAAAGAAGCGACGUGUAACUUAUAUUCCUUUAGGCGUUUAUAUUCUUUGCCAUAAUAAGAAAUACAAGCUUACCAGUCUAGUUUAGUACCCCCUGGAUAUCCCUUCAUUUUCUC
Long non-coding RNA from Eriocheir sinensis (Chinese mitten crab), 3255 nucleotides. RefSeq lists it as uncharacterized. The record is from RefSeq and is a predicted model, not a curated record. NCBI's taxonomy places the organism in Eukaryota, Metazoa, Arthropoda, Malacostraca, Decapoda, Varunidae. The transcript is spliced from 3 exons.